RNAcentral lists this ribosomal RNA (396 nucleotides) under uncultured bacterium. RNAcentral describes it as "bacterial SSU rRNA". It matches the Rfam family "Bacterial small subunit ribosomal RNA", at positions 28 to 417 of the family's 1533-position model. The record is from RNAcentral.
GAUGAACGCUAGCGACAGGCCUAACACAUGCAAGUCGAGGGGCAGCACGAAGUAAGCUUGCUUACUUUGGUGGCGACCGGCGCACGGGUGCGUAACAGGUGUGCAAUCUGUCCAUAAUCGGGGAAUAGCCCAGCGAAAGUUGGAUUAAUGCUCCAUGUGAGUUUUAGAGGCAUCUCUUUAACUUGAAACGCAAGGAUUAUGGGUGAGCACGCUUCUGAUUUAGGUAGUUGGUGAGGUAACGGCUCACCAAGCCGACGAUCAGUAGGGGUUCUGAGAGGAAGGUCCCCCCACAUUGGAACUGAGACACGGUCCAAACUCCUACGGGAGGCAGCAGUGAGGAAUAUUGGUCAAUGGGCGAAGCCUGAACCAGCCAAGUCGCGUGAAGGAUGAAGGUUC